RNAcentral lists this non-coding RNA (30 nucleotides) under Homo sapiens (human). Lineage: Eukaryota; Metazoa; Chordata; Mammalia; Primates; Hominidae. The record is from RNAcentral.
UCUGCAAGGGUGUGCCAAGAGCAGGUGGAC